RNAcentral lists this long non-coding RNA (4318 nucleotides) under Ananas comosus (pineapple). Its description in RNAcentral is "long non-coding RNA (ACOM_LNC039835)". The record is from RNAcentral. Lineage: Eukaryota; Viridiplantae; Streptophyta; Magnoliopsida; Poales; Bromeliaceae.
AAGCAGUGCUGAAAUCCAAGCACGUACCCAAAGCGUCCUGUAAGCUCCUCCAAAAAUGGGAUACAAAACGGGGGUCUCGAUCCGAUACUAUAGAAGUAGGUACCCCGUGCAAUCGCACAAUCUCAUCCAAAUAAACCUGUGCGAGUCUCUCACCAGUCCAAGUAGUGUGGAUAGGUAUGAAAUGUGCUGAUUUCGUCAGUCUAUCCACGAUCACCCAAAUAGCAUCAUGCCCGACCUGUGAGCGCGGCAAUCCCAUCACAAAAUCCAUGGUGAUCUUUUCCCACUUCCACACUGGAAUCGGUAGGCUCUGCAACUUUCCCGCAGGAACUCGACGCUCAGCCUUCACCUGUUGGCAAGUUAAACAUCUAACAAUGAACUCACCAACAUCCUUUUUCAUCCCGGGCCACCAAUAAAGUGGUUUCAAAUCCUUGUACAUCUUGGUGCCUCCCGGAUGUAUAGCAUACGGUACUCGGUGGGCUUCUUGAAGAAUAUCCUCUUUAAUGCCUAAGUCCGCCGGUACACAGUCGUGUCACGCCCCGGGAUCGGCGGAGGCCCUCCCGGUAGCGCGUCCAGACCCGCCAUAUGUCUACACAUAUAAGGCGUCUACAAUAAAAGCGGAAGUGAAAGCAAGGAAUACAACAACUAGGAAUGAAUAACAACUAAUGAUAUUAGAGCGAGUAAAAAUCUAUCUUCUAAACAAGAAUAAAGGAAACAUACUAAUCCAUAAAAGUAAAGCACAAGGUGAUACAAUACUAACUCCUCAAAAAAAAUACAUAAGUCCAAAAGGAGGGUGGUCUCUAUACAUAUACGGGUACAACUCUCAACCUCUCACAAAGUAAAACAACGAGAGGUAGACAACCAUCGAAUCGUCCUCGAAAGAAGCUAGCUCGAAGCAACUCCCUUCCCGCGGUCCCUAGCCUCUCCCGGCGUGGAAGGCUCUGAAAACAUCAAGAAAACANGAAAACAUAAAACAGAGGGCGUGAGAACUAUAAUUUAUAGUUCCCAGUGGGCAAUUACUGACCUCAGCUCUAUGCACCACUAGGCCCAAAAGAAAAGGGUAAGUAACGACAAAUAGUAAUAAGCGAUAAAUAGCGAGUAUAAAAACUGCUGAAAGGAAGCAUGAAUGAAAUGCUACACUACUAUGUCUCCAAUAAGCAUGAUGUCAUGGUGAUGUACAUCUACGCUAUCAUAAGGUAAUAUAUCCAAUGCAUACUAAUAUGCCUCAACAUAAUGAACAAGUAAACCUCACAAUACAAUAUGUCAAAACACAAAGAGUAAGCUCUAUCAAGAUAACCUAGUAUACUAUGGUGCAAUGCAUAAAACCGGCAAGUAUACUAUAUACCCCAAUGCUAUGUCAUGAGCAUGUCAAGUAAUCCAACUACCAAGCCUACCUAGUAGUGAUUAUUCAUCCUCAAUACUGUGUCGAUUUCCUUUUCCAAUCAAGGACCUACCAAAGGUAGUCCAGCUUGUGCCGCCUAAAUGCCUGUGGUAGCCCAACAUCCCUACUAUUGGAAUGUGUCUGUCCCACUCGACCCCGUAGGCUUCUCAAUACCGCACGAACGAACAUAGGUCGCAUAGGCUAACUCCGGAGUGCCGGCUUGUAGGGAGCGACCCUCACAAGCAUGUGCGAAUGAGCACAAAUGGCAAGCAAGCAUAGUCCAAGUCUCAAGUAUCCAGUCCUCAUGUCUCUAACAUGGUAUAGCCACUAGCAUCUCGAAGAUCUAGUUCUAAGUCAUAAAAGGAAGUUCCAACAUUCUCUAGGUCUAGUGUCCCUUUAUGACACAUAGACAUUUAAUGUUUAAGCAUGUUUCACGUUCCUCAAUGGCCUUAUCUACUAAGUUCACACAUGUCCCGAGCUCAAUGCCGCUUGAUGACAUUAGCUCUCUAGUUCACAUACCUUCUAGUUCAACACCUCUAAAUGGCAAUUUUGUCAUCUUUCAUGUCUCAAAUAUACUUAAGUUUAAAUGCAUGAAUCAAAGCUCAUUUACACUAUAGAAGCAUGAAGCCAAAUCUCAUAUAGAAUGCUAGAUGCAAUCAUAGAUCUCUCAAGCAACUCUCUCUACUACAUAGGAGUCCAAAAUUGCACUAUAAGUAACAUAGGCAUUUUAAGCAUUCUAAAAUUCACAAUAAAUACAUAUAACAAGAAUAUGCAUACUUUUUCGAUUAAUGAUACUUAAUUCAUCACAAAUGAGAAUUUCUCAUUGUGUGGCUAGGUCAAACCCACCGAACCGUCGCGUAGUGCCUUAUUUCGCCGAACAAAGUUGUCCCCGACUCUCAAAAUACCCUAAAAGUAUUGAGCGAAAAGAUACACGGGCAUUACGAUUAUCUUAUAAGAUCAAACAUUAACCUAGACGCAAAAAGGGCCAAAACUCACCUCAAGAGUAAAAAUCCUCUCUUAAGCUCCAAAGGAGGGCUAGAACCCUUCCAAUCUAUCCUAGAGGAAGGUUCUAAUCCAAUCAAUCAAGCUCCAAAAGCCCUAAAAUCAAAAUGCCCAAAAUAAGCCCUAAAUCUGGAUUUCAUCUUGAAUCCAUCAAUAAAAUCCAUAUUUAGAGGGAGAGUACAAGUAAAUUACCUCUUAGAAGCUUCAAUCCAAGCUCUAAACUCUCCAAGUCCAAGGAUCUCCCCUCAACAAAGCUCCAAAACCAAGCUCCAAGCUUCAUCCAUGGAGGGAAAUGCACCAAGAGGGAAAAAGAGAGAUUAAACCUUUAAUCCCAAACCAAAAUGAGAUCAAAAUCAAAGAGAAGCAUGGAGGAGCUCCCUUUACCUUCUCCCUGUUGUGGCAAGCUCAAAGAGCAGCCCUAGAGUCGUGGGUAGUAAUAUAAGAAGGCAACAAUGCAAAAACACCCUUGCAGAAUCAAACAUUCAGAUUCUGUCACUGCAUACCGGUACACGGGCCCGUGUACCGGUACACCUCCCACGAAAAUGCCAAACCCGAGCCUCGGGUUGGCUGGAAAGCCGCCUGUGUACCAGUACACCAUCCCGUACCGGUACAACCAUCAACCCUGUACCGAUACAGCCAUCAAUCCUGUACCGGUACACGGCCCAAUGAAGGCUACCCGAGAGCUAACCAAAAAUUCGAUUUUUCGGGUUUCGGUGCUAGGCUUCUAACCUCAAUCCUCGGGACUCGAACCACAGGUCGGAACACUGUCUACGAACGUCUACAAAGUGUGAAAAGGCUCGGAACACAACAAAUCACUCGAACCUCGCAGUUUGCAAAGGUCCAGUGCGUUACAUUCACCCCUCCUUAAAAGGAGUUUCGUCCGCGAAACUCGAAAUGACAAGUACCUGAAGCCUCUAUCUGAAAAAGAUGAGGAUAGCGCUCCCGCAGCGCGCUCUGCAACUCCCAAGUGGCCUCGCGCUCGUCAUGGUUGCUCCAAAGCACCUUCACGUAGGGAAUUUCCCUGUUCCGCAAUCUUUUCACCUCGCGAGCCAAAAUCCUCAAAGGUUGCUCCUCAAAGCUCAAGUCAUCCCGCAGCUCCAAAGGUGUAGUAUCCAACACGUGAGCCGGGUCGUGGAUGUACUUCCGAAGGACCGAUACAUGGAACACAUUAUGUACACCCGAUAAGUUUGGCGGCAGAGCGAGUCGAUACGCUACCGGGCCUACACGCUCCAAAACCUCAAACGGUCCAAUUAAUCGGGGGCUCAACUUGCCCCGGAUUCCAAAUCGCCUAAUCCCUCGAGUCGGCGAGACUUUCAAGAAGACGUGAUCUCCAAUAUGAAACUCCAAGUCUCGUCGCCGCCUGUCAGCAAAGCUCCUCUACCUACUCUGGGCUGUCAACAGUCGCUCCCAAGCAAUGCGAACCUUGUCCUCUGCUUUCUGGAGCACGUCUGGGCCUAAAGCCAAUCUCUCGCCAACUUCACUCCAAUGAAGUGGCGAUCUACACUUCCGUCCAUAGAGUGCCUCGAACGGUGCCAUCUUGAUGCUUGCUUGAUAACUGUUGCUAUAAGCAAACUCUACCAUCUUUAGAUGCUGCGACCAUCCUCCCUGGAAGUCAAUCACGCAAGCUCGAAGCAUGUCCUCGAGAGUCUGUAUAGUACGCUCCGACUGCCCGUCACUCUGGGGUGAAAAGCUGUACUGAAGUCCAAGCGCCUACCCAGAGCAUCCUGUAAGCUCCUCCAAAAGUGGGAUACAAAACGGGGGUCUCGAUCUGAUACUAUGAAAGUAGGUACCCCGUGUAAUCGCACAAUCUCAUCCAAAUAAACCUGUGCGAGUCUCUCACCAGUCCAAGUAGUGUGGAUAGGUAUGAAAUGUGCCGAUUUCGUCAAUCUAUCCACAAUCACCCAAAUAGCGUCAUGCCCGGCCUGUGAGCGAGGCAAU